RNAcentral lists this transfer RNA (75 nucleotides) under Bacillota bacterium. Its description in RNAcentral is "tRNA-Gly". It matches the Rfam family "tRNA". Rfam says of the family: Transfer RNA (tRNA) molecules are approximately 80 nucleotides in length. Their secondary structure includes four short double-helical elements and three loops (D, anti-codon, and T loops). The record is from RNAcentral. Lineage: Bacteria; Bacillati; Bacillota. RNAcentral also lists the same sequence under 1 other name.
GCGGGAGUAGUUUAGCGGUAGAACAUCGGCUUCCCAAGCCGAGGGUCGCGGGUUCGAACCCCGUCUCCCGCUCCA